This is a long non-coding RNA of Oncorhynchus masou masou (cherry salmon), 536 nucleotides long. RefSeq lists it as uncharacterized. The transcript is spliced from 3 exons. The record is from RefSeq and is a predicted model, not a curated record. NCBI's taxonomy places the organism in Eukaryota, Metazoa, Chordata, Actinopteri, Salmoniformes, Salmonidae.
CUUUUUUCUCUCCACUGGGAUAUAGUGAUACCAGAGAAUCAGACAGGGAUGGCUACGGUUUACACAUUUCUUCUAUGGUGUGUGAUGCUGCUGGACUGCCAGCUGUUCCAGGGAGAUGAGGACCAGGGAAAGUCGCCCCAGUCUGAACCAGGCGUCCUGUAAUGAUGAGCUGGGCUCCUACACCUGUACCUGUCUACCAGGCUUCACUGGGAUGAACUGUGAGUAACAGCCAGGCAGUGUAAGGUGAAUAACGGAGAAUGUGUUCUGUGGCACCUAUGGGGCACAAUGUAGCUGUGCAGAUGGCUACAAGCUGCUGCAGAAUGGAGUCAACUUUAAACCUGAAUGUAACCAAAAUAUUUCACAUCUGGUUACACAUUUACCAGAAUCUUACUUAAGUACUGUGUAGCAACAUGUUAUUACAGUAGUGUGACUACAAUGUCACUACAUUAAUGUAUAGAGGAACUUGAUGUCAAGUGUUAGAAAGGAUGGUGGUUGCUAACUUUGGAUUUGCAUGUAUACAUACAGUACCAGUCAUC